AAGUUACUUAAAAUCUGCUUUUUCUUAGGAGGAGAAAGAACUAACAGAGAUGCAGAAGUCCUCUUCUACUCGGGCUGGGGAUAUGCAUGAGAAAGACACGCGUGGAUGCCGUAUGAGCUCUCGUUCUGAAUGCGGAAAUCUGACCUCCCACCGGAUACUCAGUUCAGGGGGCUCCUGGACCCUCCAGCUGCUCCUCUACUCAUCGCUCCCUCACUCAGAAAACCAGCAGAGAAGUGAACUUCCUCAAAUGACUGACGAGGGAGCCCCAGGUAAUGCAUGAGAAAGGAAGUGUUAUAAGAAGCCAAGAAUGGGUGCCCCCCACCCCCCAACCAAGAGCCAGUUCUGUUAACACAGCAGAGAGCCCUCCCCAGGUCUCAAAGUCUCCCUGCCUUUGCUGCCACAGGUAAGAGGGGGUGGUUUUGCUCACUGCAAACCACAUAACAGAAACAACACCUGCUUGGGCACU
Molecule: long non-coding RNA, 466 nt
Filed under: Homo sapiens (human)
Lineage: Eukaryota; Metazoa; Chordata; Mammalia; Primates; Hominidae
Description: HSALNT0233871
Source: RNAcentral